This 328-nucleotide small nucleolar RNA is filed under the name Anabas testudineus (climbing perch). The record is from RNAcentral. Lineage: Eukaryota; Metazoa; Chordata; Actinopteri; Anabantiformes; Anabantidae.
GCCCGCUGAUGAGAUCAUGGCAAGUUUUAUGAUCCAGUCAGACUAAGAGAUUAUGGUGUCAAGCCUGCUGUUAGGUGGGUAGUCUUGGCAGUGUGGUGGAGUUUUAUUGCACUGCUGUAAGGGCCCUCCCACAGUUAACCUGUCACUUCCUACAAUGUCUUCCACCCAAGAGCAAUGCUAUAGGAUAAGUAGGAAACUUGCCAAACAAUGUGCAAGUAUUUGUGUGUGUUUGUUGUUGUAUGAAUGUAUAUGUCAGAUUGCAAGAACUUUAGUCUCUGUAUAGUUCGUCUGGCAUGCAUGAACUGCAGUCUUUGGUAAUCUGAAGGCA